CCCUAUGGGGCGCAUCAGGCGAGAAAUCUUAGCAAUGUGCGGAAGCACGACUGGGUCAGUCCGAGUGAUUCCUGAUAAAGGAGUCUUUUAUCUGUCCUAAAAGCACAGGUGAAUAAGGGGUGGGCAAGUCUGGUGUCAGCCGCCGCGGUAAUACCAGCACCUCGAGUGGUCAGGACGUUUACUGGGCCUAAAGCAUCCGUAGCCGGCUUUGCAAGUCUUCGGUUAAAUCCACCUGCUCAACAGAUGGGCUGCUGGAGAUACUACAAAGCUAGGGAGUGGGAGAGGCAGACGGUAUUCAGUGGGUAGGGGUAAAAUCCUCUGAUCCAUCGAGGACCACCAGUGGCGAAGGCGGCUUGCCAGAAUGCGCUCGACGGUGAGGGAUGAAAGCUGGGGGAGCAAACCGGAUUAGAUACCCGGGUAGUCCCAGCCGUAAACGAUGCAGACUCGGUGAUGGGUUGGCUUCGCGCUAACCCAGUGCCGCAGGGAAGCCGUUAAGUCCGCCGCCUGGGUAGUACGGACGCAAGACUGAAACUUAAAGGAAUUGGCGGGGGAGCACCACAAGGGGUGAAGCCUGCGGUUCAAUUGGACUCAACGCCGGUA
Molecule: ribosomal RNA, 600 nt
Filed under: uncultured archaeon
Lineage: Archaea
Description: bacterial SSU rRNA
Rfam family: Archaeal small subunit ribosomal RNA
Source: RNAcentral